Molecule: ribosomal RNA, 2826 nt
Filed under: Escherichia coli
Lineage: Bacteria; Pseudomonadati; Pseudomonadota; Gammaproteobacteria; Enterobacterales; Enterobacteriaceae
Description: bacterial LSU rRNA
Rfam family: Bacterial large subunit ribosomal RNA
Source: RNAcentral
GUUAUAACCGGCGAUUUCCGAAUGGGGAAACCCAGUGUGUUUCGACACACUAUCAUUAACUGAAUCCAUAGGUUAAUGAGGCGAACCGGGGGAACUGAAACAUCUAAGUACCCCGAGGAAAAGAAAUCAACCGAGAUUCCCCCAGUAGCGGCGAGCGAACGGGGAGGAGCCCAGAGCCUGAAUCAGUGUGUGUGUUAGUGGAAGCGUCUGGAAAGGCGCGCGAUACAGGGUGACAGCCCCGUACACAAAAAUGCACAUGCUGUGAGCUCGAUGAGUAGGGCGGGACACGUGGUAUCCUGUCUGAAUAUGGGGGGACCAUCCUCCAAGGCUAAAUACUCCUGACUGACCGAUAGUGAACCAGUACCGUGAGGGAAAGGCGAAAAGAACCCCGGCGAGGGGAGUGAAAAAGAACCUGAAACCGUGUACGUACAAGCAGUGGGAGCACAGAGCAAUCUGUGUGACUGCGUACCUUUUGUAUAAUGGGUCAGCGACUUAUAUUCUGUAGCAAGGUUAACCGAAUAGGGGAGCCGAAGGGAAACCGAGUCUUAACUGGGCGUUAAGUUGCAGGGUAUAGACCCGAAACCCGGUGAUCUAGCCAUGGGCAGGUUGAAGGUUGGGUAACACUAACUGGAGGACCGAACCGACUAAUGUUGAAAAAUUAGCGGAUGACUUGUGGCUGGGGGUGAAAGGCCAAUCAAACCGGGAGAUAGCUGGUUCUCCCCGAAAGCUAUUUAGGUAGCGCCUCGUGAAUUCAUCUCCGGGGGUAGAGCACUGUUUCGGCAAGGGGGUCAUCCCGACUUACCAACCCGAUGCAAACUGCGAAUACCGGAGAAUGUUAUCACGGGAGACACACGGCGGGUGCUAACGUCCGUCGUGAAGAGGGAAACAACCCAGACCGCCAGCUAAGGUCCCAAAGUCAUGGUUAAGUGGGAAACGAUGUGGGAAGGCCCAGACAGCCAGGAUGUUGGCUUAGAAGCAGCCAUCAUUUAAAGAAAGCGUAAUAGCUCACUGGUCGAGUCGGCCUGCGCGGAAGAUGUAACGGGGCUAAACCAUGCACCGAAGCUGCGGCAGCGACACUGUGUGUUGUUGGGUAGGGGAGCGUUCUGUAAGCCUGUGAAGGUGUGCUGUGAGGCAUGCUGGAGGUAUCAGAAGUGCGAAUGCUGACAUAAGUAACGAUAAAGCGGGUGAAAAGCCCGCUCGCCGGAAGACCAAGGGUUCCUGUCCAACGUUAAUCGGGGCAGGGUGAGUCGACCCCUAAGGCGAGGCCGAAAGGCGUAGUCGAUGGGAAACAGGUUAAUAUUCCUGUACUUGGUGUUACUGCGAAGGGGGGACGGAGAAGGCUAUGUUGGCCGGGCGACGGUUGUCCCGGUUUAAGCGUGUAGGCUGGUUUUCCAGGCAAAUCCGGAAAAUCAAGGCUGAGGCGUGAUGACGAGGCACUACGGUGCUGAAGCAACAAAUGCCCUGCUUCCAGGAAAAGCCUCUAAGCAUCAGGUAACAUCAAAUCGUACCCCAAACCGACACAGGUGGUCAGGUAGAGAAUACCAAGGCGCUUGAGAGAACUCGGGUGAAGGAACUAGGCAAAAUGGUGCCGUAACUUCGGGAGAAGGCACGCUGAUAUGUAGGUGAAGUCCCUCGCGGAUGGAGCUGAAAUCAGUCGAAGAUACCAGCUGGCUGCAACUGUUUAUUAAAAACACAGCACUGUGCAAACACGAAAGUGGACGUAUACGGUGUGACGCCUGCCCGGUGCCGGAAGGUUAAUUGAUGGGGUCAGCGCAAGCGAAGCUCUUGAUCGAAGCCCCGGUAAACGGCGGCCGUAACUAUAACGGUCCUAAGGUAGCGAAAUUCCUUGUCGGGUAAGUUCCGACCUGCACGAAUGGCGUAAUGAUGGCCAGGCUGUCUCCACCCGAGACUCAGUGAAAUUGAACUCGCUGUGAAGAUGCAGUGUACCCGCGGCAAGACGGAAAGACCCCGUGAACCUUUACUAUAGCUUGACACUGAACAUUGAGCCUUGAUGUGUAGGAUAGGUGGGAGGCUUUGAAGUGUGGACGCCAGUCUGCAUGGAGCCGACCUUGAAAUACCACCCUUUAAUGUUUGAUGUUCUAACGUGGACCCGUGAUCCGGGUUGCGGACAGUGUCUGGUGGGUAGUUUGACUGGGGCGGUCUCCUCCUAAAGAGUAACGGAGGAGCACGAAGGUUGGCUAAUCCUGGUCGGACAUCAGGAGGUUAGUGCAAUGGCAUAAGCCAGCUUGACUGCGAGCGUGACGGCGCGAGCAGGUGCGAAAGCAGGUCAUAGUGAUCCGGUGGUUCUGAAUGGAAGGGCCAUCGCUCAACGGAUAAAAGGUACUCCGGGGAUAACAGGCUGAUACCGCCCAAGAGUUCAUAUCGACGGCGGUGUUUGGCACCUCGAUGUCGGCUCAUCACAUCCUGGGGCUGAAGUAGGUCCCAAGGGUAUGGCUGUUCGCCAUUUAAAGUGGUACGCGAGCUGGGUUUAGAACGUCGUGAGACAGUUCGGUCCCUAUCUGCCGUGGGCGCUGGAGAACUGAGGGGGGCUGCUCCUAGUACGAGAGGACCGGAGUGGACGCAUCACUGGUGUUCGGGUUGUCAUGCCAAUGGCACUGCCCGGUAGCUAAAUGCGGAAGAGAUAAGUGCUGAAAGCAUCUAAGCACGAAACUUGCCCCGAGAUGAGUUCUCCCUGACCCUUUAAGGGUCCUGAAGGAACGUUGAAGACGACGACGUUGAUAGGCCGGGUGUGUAAGCGCAGCGAUGCGUUGAGCUAACCGGUACUAAUGAACCGUGAGGCUUAACCUUACAACGCCGAAGGUGUUU